This 217-nucleotide unclassified non-coding RNA is filed under the name uncultured Gaiellales bacterium. RNAcentral describes it as "contains 16S-23S intergenic spacer region". It matches the Rfam family "Bacterial small subunit ribosomal RNA", at positions 976 to 1195 of the family's 1533-position model. Lineage: Bacteria; Bacillati; Actinomycetota; Thermoleophilia; Gaiellales. The record is from RNAcentral.
UAGGCUUGACAUGCACAGGAAUGUCGUAGAAAUACGGCAGCCCUUCGGGGCCUGUGCACAGGUGGUGCAUGGCUGUCAUCAGCUCGUGCCGUGAGGUGUUGGGUUAAGUCCCGCAACGAGCGCAACCCCUGUCCCUAGUUGCCAGCGAGUUAUGUCGGGGACUCUAGGGAGACUGCCGGUGACAAAUCGGAGGAAGGUGGGGAUGACGUUUUCUACG